This 544-nucleotide ribosomal RNA is filed under the name Klebsiella pneumoniae. RNAcentral describes it as "bacterial SSU rRNA". It matches the Rfam family "Bacterial small subunit ribosomal RNA", at positions 999 to 1533 of the family's 1533-position model. The record is from RNAcentral. RNAcentral also lists the same sequence under 2 other names. Lineage: Bacteria; Pseudomonadati; Pseudomonadota; Gammaproteobacteria; Enterobacterales; Enterobacteriaceae.
UCCAGAGAUGGAUUGGUGCCUUCGGGAACUGUGAGACAGGUGCUGCAUGGCUGUCGUCAGCUCGUGUUGUGAAAUGUUGGGUUAAGUCCCGCAACGAGCGCAACCCUUAUCCUUUGUUGCCAGCGGUUAGGCCGGGAACUCAAAGGAGACUGCCAGUGAUAAACUGGAGGAAGGUGGGGAUGACGUCAAGUCAUCAUGGCCCUUACGACCAGGGCUACACACGUGCUACAAUGGCAUAUACAAAGAGAAGCGACCUCGCGAGAGCAAGCGGACCUCAUAAAGUAUGUCGUAGUCCGGAUUGGAGUCUGCAACUCGACUCCAUGAAGUCGGAAUCGCUAGUAAUCGUAGAUCAGAAUGCUACGGUGAAUACGUUCCCGGGCCUUGUACACACCGCCCGUCACACCAUGGGAGUGGGUUGCAAAAGAAGUAGGUAGCUUAACCUUCGGGAGGGCGCUUACCACUUUGUGAUUCAUGACUGGGGUGAAGUCGUAACAAGGUAACCGUAGGGGAACCUGCGGUUGGAUCACCUCCUUACCUUAAAGAA